Molecule: ribosomal RNA, 253 nt
Filed under: uncultured bacterium
Lineage: Bacteria
Description: partial 16S ribosomal RNA
Rfam family: Bacterial small subunit ribosomal RNA
Source: RNAcentral
UACGUAGGGUGCGAGCGUUAAUCGGAAUUACUGGGCGUAAAGCGUGCGCAGGCGGUUACUUAAGUCGGGGGUGAAAUCUCGGGGCUUAACUCCGAAACUGCAUUCGAUACUGCCGUGCUUGAGGACUGGAGAGGAGACUGGAAUUUACGGUGUAGCGGUGAAAUGCGUAGAUAUCGUAAGGAAGACCAGUGGCGAAGGCGGGUCUCUGGACAGUUCCUGACGCUGAGGCACGAAGGUCAGGGGAGCAAACGGG